Molecule: long non-coding RNA, 1342 nt
Organism: Diceros bicornis minor
Lineage: Eukaryota; Metazoa; Chordata; Mammalia; Perissodactyla; Rhinocerotidae
Exons: 3
Source: RefSeq, a predicted model, not a curated record
UCGUGAGGUGUCCAGGGAAUUCCUGAGGAGGCCACGCCUCAUCCGGGACCGGGGGGAACCAGCAGAGCCCACGUUCCAGGGCUGGCAGAGAGGGCAGCAACUCAAGGCUCGGCAGCAGGAGAAACUGCCACAAAUCCGGAAUCUCCGGGCAGGAGCCCACCACGGCCUCCGGCUGCAGCGGGGGCGGGAGCCAGCGGAGAAGCUGCGGGCCUGGCUGCCCUGGGAGGUGAUUCCUGGCUUCUCUUCUCGAUGCAGAAAGAACCUGCAAGUGGAGAAACGCAGAGCAGACAACUGCCCACUCAGCCCAAAGAUGCAAGAGAAAUAAAGAGGGUGCCUGAAACAGGGACGGCCACGGGCCUGCGGUCAGUGGGGCUUUGCUGCAAGGUCACUCAGGAAACCACCAGCCCAGGAAGACGAGGCCUGCGCCAGAGGUGACAGGACUGGUCCAUGUCACGUCUCCAGGAUUUGACGAUCGUGUCUGAGUAUGUGAGAGGAUGGGUGUCCGCCCUCUCAGGAGACGCAGGCUGGAGAGUCAGAGGUUUGUCCAUUGGAAGUCAGACCUGAGUCUCACUGGGGUACAAUGAAGGUGUUGGCCCGCCCCGGUCCUUUCUGGAAGGUCUGGGGGAGAAUCCACUUCCAGGCUGUGCAGGUGUCAGCAGAACUCAGUUCCUGGCUUUGUAGGAUCAAGGUCCACAUGACCUUACUGGUGGUCAGCUGAGGACCAUUCUCAGCUUCCAGAAGCUUCCCACAUUCCUUGGCCAGUGGCCCCCUUGCUCCAUCCUCAAAGCCAGCAAUGACGGGUCGAGUCUUCACACUUGGUCUCUCCUGCCCCCUUUUGCGUCACCGCUCUGACUUCAGCUGGGAAAGUUCUCCACUUUUAAAGGCUCGUGUGAUUCGAUUGUGCUGACCAGAGAAUGCGGGACAGUUUCCAUCUCAAGAUCCUCGUCUCUGUUGCAUCUGCAAAGUCCCCGUCACCAUGUGCAGUGGCCAGUUCAUAGGUUCCAGGGACAUUGCUGGCACCCUUCUCCAGCCUGACCAGGGAGAGAAAGGAAUAAAGCAAAUGGUACAGAAUCGUGACCACUGGUGAAUCUCGACAGAUGGUGCGUAGCAGUUCACUGCACACUCCUUGCUCUUUCCUAUGGGUGUGAACACUUAUCAUGAUAAAAAUGUAAACACGCAGAGUCGUUCUAGACGAAGGGUCACGUCCACUAUCCUGGGGUCAGAACACCCUCAGGGGUAACCUCCUCCUGUCUGGAUUUGGGGUGCAGUGGGGUGAGGUUUACCCAGCCAAAGUGUUGCUCAAAUACAGAGGCAGCGGCAACGUCCUCAAAUUCUCAAACAC